This 185-nucleotide ribosomal RNA is filed under the name Rhizoctonia solani. Its description in RNAcentral is "5.8S ribosomal RNA". The stretch from base 117 to 185 matches the Rfam family "5.8S ribosomal RNA", at positions 1 to 69 of the family's 154-position model. The record is from RNAcentral. Lineage: Eukaryota; Fungi; Basidiomycota; Agaricomycetes; Cantharellales; Ceratobasidiaceae.
UAUUUGUUAUUUUUUGUAAUAAAAUGAUAAUAAGUCAUUGAACCCUUCUGUCUACUCAACUCAUAUAAAAUCAAUUUAUUUUAAAUGAAUGUAAUGGAUGUAACACAUCUCAUACUAAGUUUCAACAACGGAUCUCUUGGCUCUCGCAUCGAUGAAGAACGCAGCGAAAUGCGAUAAGUAAUGUG